GUUUUCAAACGCAGCCCAAGUGUCAACGACAGUGCCAUCAAGGUCCUAAUACUCAAACAAAGCCUCUGGGGCUAAUCUGGACAUCCCCGGAGACCUGCUGGUUGCCCUGAGGGAACCGGAUGGCAGGUUCUGUCUGAGCAAUCAAGCCAGCAUCAAUAGAGAAAUGAGGCCCUUGGAACAGAAUUUCAGACCUCAGCUCUGGUAUGGGUGCAUAUGGGAUGACUGUGGAAUGUAUGGGACCUCUCUCACCCAAAGCAAGUGAGACUGAAGGCAAGGGAGAAAAGGCCUAAUUCUGGGGUCCACUCAUAGCUCCAUUUGACCUCACACAAGCUGCAUCUUCACACAAGCCUUCUUUAGCAAAGGUGAUGCUUUGGCCUGCAUCAGCUCCCACCCCUCCCAGCUGGACUUCCAGUUCUAUCACUCCACUGAGAUGGCCGCGCUGAGGCUACCAAGGAUGUCUGUGAUCAUGAAUCUGAUGCUGGCUUCUCUGUCCUUGUCCUACUUUUCCUGCUCAGCAGCAUCC
Molecule: long non-coding RNA, 523 nt
Organism: Ochotona princeps (American pika)
Lineage: Eukaryota; Metazoa; Chordata; Mammalia; Lagomorpha; Ochotonidae
Exons: 4
Source: RefSeq, a predicted model, not a curated record